Molecule: ribosomal RNA, 561 nt
Filed under: uncultured Sphingobacteriia bacterium
Lineage: Bacteria; Pseudomonadati; Bacteroidota; Sphingobacteriia
Description: bacterial SSU rRNA
Rfam family: Bacterial small subunit ribosomal RNA
Source: RNAcentral
GCUAGCGGCAGGCCUAAUACAUGCAAGUCGAGGGGUAAUUCUGCUUUCGGGCAGAAACGACCGGCGCACGGGUGCGUAACGCGUAUGCAACCUACCCACAACUGGGGGAUAGCCCGGAGAAAUCCGGAUUAAUACCCCAUAAUGCAGGGGUACUGCAUGGUACUAUUUGCUAAAGAUUUAUCGGUUGUGGAUGGGCAUGCGUCUGAUUAGUUAGUUGGUGAGGUAACGGCUCACCAAGGCGACGAUCAGUAGGGGGUCUGAGAGGAUGAUCCCCCACACUGGUACUGAGAUACGGACCAGACUCCUACGGGAGGCAGCAGUAGGGAAUAUUGGUCAAUGGGCGGAAGCCUGAACCAGCCAUGCCGCGUGCAGGAUGACGGCCUUCUGGGUUGUAAACUGCUUUUAUCAGGGAAGAAAACGGUCAUGCGUGACAGAUUGACGGUACCUGAAGAAUAAGCACCGGCUAACUCCGUGCCAGCAGCCGCGGUAAUACGGAGGGUGCAAGCGUUGUCCGGAUUUAUUGGGUUUAAAGGGUGCGUAGGCGGAUUAUUAAGUCAGUGG